RNAcentral lists this unclassified non-coding RNA (360 nucleotides) under Hevea brasiliensis (rubber tree). Lineage: Eukaryota; Viridiplantae; Streptophyta; Magnoliopsida; Malpighiales; Euphorbiaceae. The record is from RNAcentral.
ACUCUAGCGCCGCCACAACUUACAAACGAAGCAAAUGUCGCCCCUGAAGAACCAUGAAUCCCACACAAAGAAGAGAUGUCCACACUGAAAAUGAGAGAAUGGACAUCCAUUCUCAACCAUAAGAGUCCCUGCAAGAAAAAUCUGCAUCCUCAUCUUAAGAUCACAAACACUCAUAAAAUCUAGAAAGCUCGACAAGGAGGUUUAGCAGAGCUCACUUUUAGAGGUGUUGGUAACGUCCCCAUAGAUAUCUAUCCUCUAGACCAACAAGUAAAGUAGCACUCUCAUGUGCAUAGCCUUAGAUCCUAGGCAGCCAUGGUCUAAGCAGAGUCAAAAAAGAAAUAUAAAAAAACUCAAAACAAA